This is a long non-coding RNA of Ailuropoda melanoleuca (giant panda), 2185 nucleotides long. RefSeq lists it as uncharacterized. The transcript has 3 exons. Lineage: Eukaryota; Metazoa; Chordata; Mammalia; Carnivora; Ursidae. The record is from RefSeq and is a predicted model, not a curated record.
GGUUCAUGACCUGAGCCGAAGGCAGACGCUUAACGACUGAGCCACCCAGACACCCAUCACAGAUACACAACCGUUACCGAGCAUGACUUUUAUCACACCAUGUGGCACUCCCUGUGAGACUCUGACAACACUCAGGCUAUGCCCUGUCCAGCAGAGCAGUCCGUCACCCGGGGGCGGGGCUCCCACAGCAGUGUCUAAAUUGCGGAGCUGAAACCGACCCUCAGAGACACUGACUUACCCAAGGUCUCACUGCCAAUAAAGUGAAGACACUGGAUGAGGGCCAGUCUGCCUAGCCACCAUGUUCCCUUUCAGAACCUGCUCGCUGGACCCAUCCUUCCUCCCCUUCUCAGAGUGCUUCCCCAGGACGUGAGUGCUCCGCGGUGCCCCUUCUCCUCAGUUCCCACAGGGCCCUCUUUCUAGAGGCGCCUGGGCAGCUGAAGCCAGGGGGCACGUUUGCUGCUCUUUGCCCCAAGCACAAACAUCACUCCAGCCUAGGCUCUCUACCCUCUAAGGCCUGCCAGUAAGGUCCCGUCUGACAGGUGUCCCAGAGAGAGCGUUGGGGUGCAUGUGUGCAUGGGGGGGGGGAUGAGGCAGUGAGAACCUGACUUGUCGGCCAUGCUCAACUGUGCAGUAAGACUUGGAGCCUGACCCGGGGGUAGCCGGACAGAAAGGCCAGGAAGAAGGAGAUGAGACUUGUGCUGGUUUCCAAGAAGGAAAAGAGCCUGACUUUCAGAAUUCUCUGGCGAGGAGCCAGGUAGGGUUGAAACAGGAAACAGGGGAGUUGGUGCAGGUGAGAGGCAGGGUGUCCGGGGCCAGCAUAUGUGUGACGGGGGUGCUGGAUGAGCCCAGGGAUAGAGAGCCACACCCUAAUACAGUGCCCACCCAGCAGGGCCUCUCAGGCGUGACAGGGUCCUCCAGGCCUCAGGGAGCAGGGCUACCUGUAGGACAAGGCUGGGUGGGCCACAGGGACAGACAGGAAGGGGAGCCAGGCUCUGCUCCCAUGAGACAGGACAACUGUCUCUUUCCGGUGCUUGAUACUCUCAUUUCAGGGUCACGGCGAAGCCCCCGGUGCCGUUCAGAGUCUGCCCCUCCCGUCUCCAGCGACCAGGCAGGGCGUGGACCACCCAGGCAGCACUGCCCAGUCAGGAGGGGCCUUCCACCCCAUCCUGCAGGACAAGCAGCCCCGUCUGGGCACCACCUCUCAGCUCUCACCUUUGACGCACCCUGUGGAAGAGCAGGGUGGCCUACAGGUGGCUGGGCCAGCCUCAGAGCCACCCUACGGUUUUAACGGAGUGGGUGCAGGGAGGUGGGUAAGCCCCAGGGGCGCACUCCAGGGCAGAGAGCGGCCACCGAAGACCCUGGUUCUCUCUGCUGCAUCAGCCAGCAGCCUGGCACCGCGUGUGACCGUGUGAGACAGGCUGUGAGUGACAGGAGGUGCGUGCGUGAGUGUGUACAGAUGUCUGUGGACUCGCGAGCGUGAAUGUGUCAGAGUGUGAAGAGUGUGUGGAGGGGCGUGUGUGAGACUGCAUGUGCAGCUGUGGAAAAGUUCAGAACGUGGGGUUAGAGCAACAAAGAGAUCUUUACAAUCAGAGGUGGGCAGACACAGAGCCAAAGACAUGCUGAGAUCAAGAGAGGGAUUUGGAGAGGCAAAGGCCCCAGAGGCAGGCCGAGCACGACGACGAAGAGAGUGGAGGUCUGCAGAGACAGAGAGAAGACAGAGACACUGAGAGAGGCCGGUUGAGGAAGGAAAGCUGUACAAGGAUAGCUUCUGAGCAGAGGGGGCAGUCAGGGAGGGACGCCUGCGCAGCCCCUAGAUGGGGGCCCCCCUGAGAUGAACCGAAGGGUCAGCCUCACAGUGAGACCCGUCACCGUAACCCCAAACUUGGGGCUCUCUCUGUUGUAAGCGUUAGCCUUGGCCCCUGCUAUUAUGGAGGGGAAGGGUAGAGGCCGAGGGAGAGGGGAGAGUACUCGUGUCUGUUGAACAUGUGGAUGGGUUGGGUGGGGGCCUAUGUCUAUCCUGACCCCCUUCCUGACCCCCUUCCUCCCUCCCCUCUCCCUGCAUCCCGCCCAUCUCAGUCAUCCCAGAGACCACACCGACAGCCCCCACCGGGCUCCUCUCUGGCCAAGCACCAAUCCUGACACGACAUGUGUAUUCUGCUGACUUAAGUCUAAUUUACUUGGGAAA